UGAAAGAUAAGCUAAUAUAAGCUAAUGGGUUCAUACCUCAUAUAUGGAUUAUAUCCUCUUUUUA
This 64-nucleotide transfer RNA is filed under the name Platypedia putnami. Its description in RNAcentral is "tRNA-Met". The record is from RNAcentral. Lineage: Eukaryota; Metazoa; Arthropoda; Insecta; Hemiptera; Cicadidae.